This is a non-coding RNA of Oryctolagus cuniculus (rabbit), 384 nucleotides long. Lineage: Eukaryota; Metazoa; Chordata; Mammalia; Lagomorpha; Leporidae. The record is from RefSeq and is a predicted model, not a curated record.
CCUGUAUACAGGUGUCACCUGGUCCCUGGGCAGUGACUUCCCUGUAUACAGGUGUCACCCGGUCCCUGGACAGCGACUCCCCUGUAUACAGGUGUCACCCGGUCCCUGGACAGCGACUCCCCUGUAUACAGGUGUCACCCGGGUGCCCCGUGUGCAUCUUCACUUCCAGGCACUCCCUGAACCUGGUCUGCUUCCUCUCGGGUUCUGGAACCUUCUGUGGGUGGGUCUGGCUGAGCGGGGUGUCUUGGUCCCCGACGCUUAGCGAGCCCGCAGCCUUGUGCCCUCUCAAAGCUCCGGGAGGAAAUGCUUGGUGGACCCACGUCCUGGGUCCUGGCUGCAGGGCGCAGUGAGUGAGGCUGCGUGCCUGGAGGGAACUCCUGGGAG